This 76-nucleotide transfer RNA is filed under the name Candidatus Freyarchaeota archaeon. Its description in RNAcentral is "tRNA-Phe". It matches the Rfam family "tRNA". Rfam says of the family: Transfer RNA (tRNA) molecules are approximately 80 nucleotides in length. RNAcentral also lists the same sequence under 1 other name. Lineage: Archaea; Promethearchaeati; Candidatus Freyarchaeota. The record is from RNAcentral.
GGAGUGGUAGCUCAGUCGGGAGAGCGUCUGACCGAAGCUCAGACCGUCGCAGGUUCAAGUCCUGCCCACUCCACCA